GAUGAACGCUGGCGGCGUGCCUAAUACAUGCAAGUCGAGCGAACAGACGAGGCGCUUGCUCCUCUGACGUUAGCGGCGGACGGGUGAGUAACACGUGGAUAACCUACCUAUAAGACUGGGAUAACUUCGGGAAACCGGAGCUAAUACCGGAUAAUAUAUUGAACCGCAUGGUUCAAUAGUGAAAGACGGUUUUGCUGUCACUUAUAGAUGGAUCCGCGCCGCAUUAGCUAGUUGGUAAGGUAACGGCUUACCAAGGCGACGAUGCGUAGCCGACCUGAGAGGGUGAUCGGCCACACUGGAACUGAGACACGGUCCAGACUCCUACGGGAGGCAGCAGUAGGGAAUCUUCCGCAAUGGGCGAAAGCCUGACGGAGCAACGCCACGUGAGUGAUGAAGGUCUUCGGAUCGUAAAACUCUGUUAGUAGGGAAGAACAAAUGUGUAAGUAACUAUGCACGUCUUGACGGUACCUAAUCAGAAAGCCACGGCUAACUACGUG
RNAcentral lists this ribosomal RNA (497 nucleotides) under uncultured bacterium. Its description in RNAcentral is "partial 16S ribosomal RNA". It matches the Rfam family "Bacterial small subunit ribosomal RNA", at positions 28 to 507 of the family's 1533-position model. The record is from RNAcentral.